AGGGUUUGAUCAUGGCUCAGGAUGAACGCUGGCGGCGUGCUUAACACAUGCAAGUCGAACGAACCUUCGGGUUAGUGGCGGACGGGUGAGUAACGCGUGAGAAUCUGCCCUCAGGAGGGGGAUAACGGUUGGAAACGACCGCUAAUACCCCAUAUGCCUACUGGUGAAAUGAAUUUCGCCUGAGGAUGAGCUCGCGUCUGAUUAGCUAGUUGGUGAGGUAAUGGCUCACCAAGGCUUCGAUCAGUAGCUGGUCUGAGAGGAUGAUCAGCCACACUGGGACUGAGACACGGCCCAGACUCCUACGGGAGGCAGCAGUGGGGAAUUUUCCGCAAUGGGCGAAAGCCUGACGGAGCAACGCCGCGUGAGGGACGAAGGCCUCUGGGCUGUAAACCUCUUUUCUCAAGGAAGAAGAUAUGACGGUACUUGAGGAAUAAGCCACGGCUAAUUCCGUGCCAGCAGCCGCGGUAAUACGGGAGUGGCAAGCGUUAUCCGGAAUUAUUGGGCGUAAAGCGUCCGCAGGCGGCUUUUCAAGUCUGCUGUUAAAGCGUGGAGCUUAACUCCAUCAUGGCAGUGGAAACUGAAAGGCUUGAGUAUGGUAGGGGCAGAGGGAAUUCCCGGUGUAGCGGUGAAAUGCGUAGAUAUCGGGAAGAACACCAGUGGCGAAGGCGCUCUGCUGGGCCAUUACUGACGCUCAUGGACGAAAGCCAGGGGAGCGAAAGGGAUUAGAUACCCCUGUAGUCCUGGCCGUAAACGAUGAACACUAGGUGUCGGGGGAAUCGACCCCCUCGGUGUCGUAGCUAACGCGUUAAGUGUUCCGCCUGGGGAGUACGCACGCAAGUGUGAAACUCAAAGGAAUUGACGGGGGCCCGCACAAGCGGUGGAGUAUGUGGUUUAAUUCGAUGCAACGCGAAGAACCUUACCAGGGUUUGACAUCCUGCGAACCUCUUAGAAAUUUGAGGGUGCCUUCGGGAAUGCAGUGACAGGUGGUGCAUGGCUGUCGUCAGCUCGUGUCGUGAGAUGUUGGGUUAAGUCCCGCAACGAGCGCAACCCACGUUUUUAGUUGCCAGCAUUUAGUUGGGCACUCUAGAAAGACCGCCGGUGAUAAACCGGAGGAAGGUGUGGAUGACGUCAAGUCAUCAUGCCCCUUACACCCUGGGCUACACACGUACUACAAUGCUACGGACAAAGGGCAGCAAACUCGCGAGAGCUAGCAAAUCCCAUAAACCGUGGCUCAGUUCAGAUCGUAGGCUGCAACUCGCCUACGUGAAGCAGGAAUCGCUAGUAAUCGCAGGUCAGCAUACUGCGGUGAAUACGUUCCCGGGCCUUGUACACACCGCCCGUCACACCAUGGAAGUUGGCCAUGCCCGAAGUCGUUACUCCAACCCUUGUGGAGGAGGACGCCGAAGGUGGGGCUAAUGACUGGGGUGAAGUCGUAACAAGGUAGCCGUA
This 1449-nucleotide ribosomal RNA is filed under the name uncultured bacterium. RNAcentral's name for it is "bacterial SSU rRNA". It matches the Rfam family "Bacterial small subunit ribosomal RNA". The record is from RNAcentral.